AGAGGUGUUUCAUGGGCGCUACAUUGCGCUACACGUGGCGCCGUGUAAACAUCUAACU
Molecule: microRNA precursor, 58 nt
Filed under: Nautilus pompilius
Lineage: Eukaryota; Metazoa; Mollusca; Cephalopoda; Nautilida; Nautilidae
Description: Npo-Mir-2722_pre stem-loop
Source: RNAcentral